CCUACGGGUGGCAGCAGUGGGGAAUAUUGGACAAUGGGGGGAACCCUGAUCCAGCCAUGCCGCGUGUGUGAAGAAGGCCCUCGGGUUGUAAAGCACUUUCAGUGAGGAAGAACGCCUGGUGGUUAAUACCCAUCAGGAAAGACAUCACUCACAGAAGAAGCACCGGCUAACUCCGUGCCAGCAGCCGCGGUAAUACGGAGGGUGCGAGCGUUAAUCGGAAUUACUGGGCGUAAAGCGCGCGUAGGUGGCUUGAUAAGCCGGUUGUGAAAGCCCCGGGCUCAACCUGGGAACGGCAUCCGGAACUGUCAAGCUAGAGUGCAGCAGAGGAAGGUAGAAUUCCCGGUGUAGCGGUGAAAUGCGUAGAGAUCGGGAGGAAUACCAGUGGCGAAGGCGGCCUUCUGGACUGACACUGACGCUGAGGUGCGAAAGCGUGGGUAGCAAACAGGAUUAGAUACCCGAGUAGUC
Molecule: ribosomal RNA, 465 nt
Filed under: Vreelandella stevensii
Lineage: Bacteria; Pseudomonadati; Pseudomonadota; Gammaproteobacteria; Oceanospirillales; Halomonadaceae
Description: partial 16S ribosomal RNA
Rfam family: Bacterial small subunit ribosomal RNA
Source: RNAcentral